CUGACGAGUGGCGCACGGGUGCGUAACGCGUAUGCAACCUACCUUUAACUGGGGAAUAGCCCCGAGAAAUCGGGAUUAAUACUCCAUAACACUGCGAAGUGGCAUCACUUUGCAUUUAAAGCUCCGGCGGUUAAAGAUGGGCAUGCGUGACAUUAGCUAGUUGGUGAGGUAACGGCUCACCAAGGCUACGAUGUCUAGGGGUUCUGAGAGGAUGAUCCCCCACACUGGUACUGAGACACGGACCAGACUCC
RNAcentral lists this ribosomal RNA (251 nucleotides) under uncultured bacterium. Its description in RNAcentral is "partial 16S ribosomal RNA". It matches the Rfam family "Bacterial small subunit ribosomal RNA", at positions 88 to 339 of the family's 1533-position model. The record is from RNAcentral.